Molecule: ribosomal RNA, 515 nt
Filed under: uncultured bacterium
Lineage: Bacteria
Description: partial 16S ribosomal RNA
Rfam family: Bacterial small subunit ribosomal RNA
Source: RNAcentral
GAUGAACGCUGGCGGCGUGCCUAAUACAUGCAAGUCGUGCGAAUGGAUUAAGAGCUUGCUCUUAUGAAGUUAGCGGCGGACGGGUGAGUAACACGUGGGUAACCUGCCCAUAAGACUGGGAUAACUCCGGGAAACCGGGGCUAAUACCGGAUAACAUUUUGAACCGCAUGGUUCGAAAUUGAAAGGCGGCUUCGGCUGUCACUUAUGGAUGGACCCGCGUCGCAUUAGCUAGUUGGUGAGGUAACGGCUCACCAAGGCAACGAUGCGUAGCCGACCUGAGAGGGUGAUCGGCCACACUGGGACUGAGACACGGCCCAGACUCCUACGGGAGGCAGCAGUAGGGAAUCUUCCGCAAUGGACGAAAGUCUGACGGAGCAACGCCGCGUGAGAGAUGAAGGCUUUCGGGUCGUAAAACUCUGUUGUUAGGGAAGAACAAGUGCUAGUUGAAUAAGCUGGCACCUUGACGGUACCUAACCAGAAAGCCACGGCUAACUACGUGCCAGCCGCCGCCGUAA